AUCCCUAGCAUAGUGGUUAGUGCACAGCCACGGAUAGGUUGAGACGCGGGUUCGAAUCCCGCUUGAGAUG
RNAcentral lists this transfer RNA (70 nucleotides) under Nippostrongylus brasiliensis. It matches the Rfam family "tRNA". From Rfam's summary of the family: Transfer RNA (tRNA) molecules are approximately 80 nucleotides in length. Their secondary structure includes four short double-helical elements and three loops (D, anti-codon, and T loops). The record is from Rfam by way of RNAcentral. Lineage: Eukaryota; Metazoa; Nematoda; Chromadorea; Rhabditida; Heligmosomidae.